UUUGAACAAAAAAACACCUGGUUUCACAUUUCGAUGUUUGUUUUCUAUAAAAAGCAUUAAUUGUUAAAAAGAAAGGGGAGAAAAAAGCAAGAGGAAGCAAGAAAAAUCGUAAAAAAGCAAGAAGAAAAAAAAGCGAAAAAACGAGAAAAAGCGAAAAGAAGAAAGAAGAAAACGAGAAGUAACGAGAAGAACCAGAAAAGUUAGUGCAAGAAGAGAAUGCAAGACAAGCCAAGAUAAGCUGCAAAAACUGCCUUCAUGACAAACAACAAAGGUGGAAAUAAAAGGUCCUCUGACCUACACAACAUGGCGAAACACAUGAUCCAGAUACAUCCCCAUAUAUCGUAUGAACUUCCUAACACAGACGAACCCAUCGAAAAUAGAAAAUACAAAAAUACUCAACGUAUGUUUAAAAAAUAAAGGUUUCUAUAAAGACAGUUCAAACUUGUUGUAUAUACUUUAAACACAUGGAGGAUGUUAUAGCUAACUAGAUUGUUAAUUAUUUUAUUAACCAAGAAUCCAAAGCAACCAUUUAUCGUA
Hydractinia symbiolongicarpus is the source of this 537-nucleotide long non-coding RNA. RefSeq lists it as uncharacterized. The transcript is spliced from 2 exons. Lineage: Eukaryota; Metazoa; Cnidaria; Hydrozoa; Anthoathecata; Hydractiniidae. The record is from RefSeq and is a predicted model, not a curated record.